Molecule: ribosomal RNA, 654 nt
Filed under: uncultured bacterium
Lineage: Bacteria
Description: bacterial SSU rRNA
Rfam family: Bacterial small subunit ribosomal RNA
Source: RNAcentral
AUUCCGCUUGGGGACUGCGGUCGCGUGAUUAGAACUCAAUGGAAUUGACGGGGACCCGCACAAGCGGUGGAGCAUGUGGUUUAAUUUGAUGCAACGCGAAAAACCUUACCACUCCUUGACAUGGAAAUUAUACCUAUUCGAAGGGAUAGGGUCGGUUCGGCCGGGUUUCACACAGGUGUUGCAUGGCUGUCGUCAGCUCGUGUCGUGAGAUGUUGGGUUAAGUCCCGCAACGAGCGCAACCCUCAUCCUUAGUUACCAUCAGGUAAUGCUGGGGACUUUAAGGAAACUGCCAGUGAUAAACUGGAGGAAGGUGGGGAUGAUGUCAAGUCAUCAUGGCCCUUAUGGAGUGGGCUACACACGUGCUACAAUGGUGGCUACAAUGGGCUGCAAAGUCGCGAGGGUAAGCUAAUCCCUUAAAAGCCAUCUCAGUUCGGAUUGUACUCUGCAACUCGAGUGCAUGAAGUUGGAAUCGCUAGUAAUCGUGGAUCAGCACGCCACGGUGAAUACGUUCUCGGGUGUUGUACACACUGCCCGUCACGCCAUGGGAAUUGGUUUCACUCGAAGCUAACGACCUUUCAAUGGGGAGGGGGUUAUUUAAAGUGGGAUCGGUGACUGUUUUAAAGGGGUAACAAGGUAGCAGUAGGGGAAUCUGCG